GUAAAACAACUCUUUCUCCUGGGCUGGCCACUUGCCCCAACACCUCUUCCACAGACUUGAGAAGCUAUUUCUGUCCUAUCACCAAAUGCCUUCGUGCAUAAGUAAUACAAAUAUGUAUUUGCUCCUGGACUCUCCAGUUUGCUCCACGGACGGAGGCGUCUGUUUCCGUGCCAUCCCCUGUUACACACAGCUUCCUGCUCACGGAAGAUGACAUUUGGGAAGGCAAGUUCGGUUCGAUGUUAGAAAAUCGAUGCGUGCAGCUCCGAGAUGAGAGGCGAGAUCCGACACACGUCAGUCAUGUCCCUCCCCCCACGUCUGGACACAUCCAGGCCCUCAGCACAGUAAGCGGGUCUCCGGCCCCUCCGACCAGGCCCCCCUGCCCUCUGGUGAGCCCACUUGCUCACUCAUGGCGCCCCCGCAACCCCGGCCUUUUCCUGCUCCUGCAGCACGAGGAGCCACUUGCUGCUCCCCCAGCUCCCUGCACCUUGGACAACCUCUUGGUCGCCCUUCAGAUCUCUGCUUCUGUGUCACUUUCCCACAGAGGCCUCCCCUGGCCACUGAGACCAAAGCGCCCCUGUGCCCUAGCCCCUGACCCCUCGCCUUCACUCGCAGCACUGAUGCCCGCAGAACCGCCGCGCUCACCCUCUUGUUUCCUCUUGGUCGUCACCCUCCGCCACCCCCAGCCCAGCCACAAGGUGAGGACUCUGAUUGUCCACCUCCACAUCCCAGUGCCUGGAACCCACAACAGGCCCUCGGUGACCCUCAGCCAGGUGGAGGAAGGACUGCACGUAAAUCGGACCCGUGGACAAAGGAUGGCCGACCCCCACUGCCUGAGUUCCCAGGGUCCUGCUGGAGGGGCAGCCGUGGGCUGGACAUCUUGCCCGCUGCAGGUGAGGAGGGGGCUUUGGGGGCCCAGGGGCCCCAAGUGCCCCCUUAGCCGGGGGAGGGAUACACGGGGGCAGCCAGCCUUGGCGGGGGUCUGCUCUGGGCGCCGGAGAAGGGAAGGAAUGUGAGCAGAUUCCUCUCAGGGCCUCUACAUCCCGCCCCAGCAGAAAACAGUGCUGCCUGCAGGGGGGAGCCUCUGCGCCUCCAGGCGACCCCGGAUCACAAGAAGAAGAGCCCCUGGGUCGUGCUGCUCUGAGAACCAGCGUUCACCUCCCUCAGGACCCUCCUUUCUCUCUUUACUACAUCCCAAGUCCACAGACUGCCGCUUUUAGAGUGGUUUUAGGUUCUCAGAGCAAUCAAGUGGGAAAUAAAUCGAUUUGUUCUUCUACCCCCA
This 1279-nucleotide long non-coding RNA is filed under the name Sus scrofa (pig). RNAcentral's name for it is "lncRNA (ENSSSCG00070026525.1)". Lineage: Eukaryota; Metazoa; Chordata; Mammalia; Artiodactyla; Suidae. The record is from RNAcentral.